Molecule: ribosomal RNA, 433 nt
Filed under: uncultured bacterium
Lineage: Bacteria
Description: partial 16S ribosomal RNA
Rfam family: Bacterial small subunit ribosomal RNA
Source: RNAcentral
AACGAACGCUGGCGGCAUGCCUAACACAUGCAAGUCGAACGAUACCUUCGGGUCCUGUUGCGAACGGGUGCGUCACGCGAGGGAACCUUCACUUAGGUUCGGUAUACCUCCCAGCAAGGGGCGCCAUUUCCAGAUAAAUUCUACUACCCCAUGAUUUAUCGCAUCAGAAUGGGUAAGAGUUAGAUUUGCUAGUUGGUAAGGUAAAAGCCAACCAAGGUGAAGAUACAUAGCUGGUGUGGUAGGAUGACCAGCCACACUGGGACUGUGACACGGCGCAGACUCCUACGGAAGGAAGCAGGGGGGAAUAUUGGACGACGGGCGAGAGCCUGAUCCAGCAAGGCCGCGUGAGUGAGGAGGGCCUGAGGGUUGUAAAGCUGUGUUGACCGCGAUGAUAAUGACAGUACCGGGAGAAAAAGCGCCGGCUAACUACGUG